UGCACAAUGGGCGCAAGCCUGAUGCAGCCAUGCCGCGUGUGUGAAGAAGGCCUUCGGGUUGUAAAGCACUUUCAGUCAGGAGGAAAGGUUAGUAGUUAAUACCUGCUAGCUGUGACGUUACUGACAGAAGAAGCACCGGCUAACUCCGUGCCAGCAGCCGCGGUAAUACGGAGGGUGCGAGCGUUAAUCGGAAUUACUGGGCGUAAAGCGUACGCAGGCGGUUUGUUAAGCGAGAUGUGAAAGCCCCGGGCUCAACCUGGGAACUGCAUUUCGAACUGGCAAACUAGAGUGUGAUAGAGGGUGGUAGAAUUUCAGGUGUAGCGGUGAAAUGCGUAGAGAUCUGAAGGAAUACCGAUGGCGAAGGCAGCCACCUGGGUCAACACUGACGCUCAUGUACGAAAGCGUGGGGAGCAAACAGGAUUAGAUACCCUGGUAGUCCACGCCGUAAACGAUGUCUACUAGAAGCUCGGAACCUCGGUUCUGUUUUUCAAAGCUAACGCAUUAAAGUAGACCGCCUGGNGAGUACCGCCCGCAANGGUAAAACUNAAAUGAAUUGGCG
RNAcentral lists this ribosomal RNA (559 nucleotides) under Pseudoalteromonas sp. BA2. RNAcentral's name for it is "bacterial SSU rRNA". It matches the Rfam family "Bacterial small subunit ribosomal RNA", at positions 365 to 915 of the family's 1533-position model. The record is from RNAcentral. Lineage: Bacteria; Pseudomonadati; Pseudomonadota; Gammaproteobacteria; Alteromonadales; Pseudoalteromonadaceae.